UAUGUUACUCUAUGCUGAGCUCGCGGCGAUCAUUGAGGUCGCGGCCCCGUGCGGAGACCUUCCAUUGCACACCGGCUAGUUGAAGCGCGCCACUUCCACGAAUGGGGGUGGGUGGGGCAUAUAAUUUUUGGUAGUGGGGCUCAGCGUUCGCGCAAGCCCCAA
This is a small nuclear RNA of Dermacentor silvarum, 162 nucleotides long. RefSeq annotates it as U1 spliceosomal RNA. The record is from RefSeq and is a predicted model, not a curated record. Lineage: Eukaryota; Metazoa; Arthropoda; Arachnida; Ixodida; Ixodidae. The transcript has a single exon.